RNAcentral lists this unclassified non-coding RNA (280 nucleotides) under uncultured fungus. RNAcentral describes it as "sequence contains ITS1, 5.8S rRNA gene". The stretch from base 232 to 280 matches the Rfam family "5.8S ribosomal RNA", at positions 1 to 49 of the family's 154-position model. The record is from RNAcentral. Lineage: Eukaryota; Fungi.
UUUCCGUAGGUGAACCUGCGGAAGGAUCAUUACUGAAUUGUCAACAUGAGUUGUUGCUGGCCCUCAAACAGGGGCAUGUGCACACUCUGUUCACACAUCCACUCACACCUGUGCACCCCUCCAUAGUUCUGUGGCCAGAGGCGGAUUAGCCCUGCCGUGGUUCUAUGUCUUUACACACACACUGUAAUAAAGUCUAAUGGGAUGUAUGCCGCGUUUAACGCAAUACAAUACAACUUUCAGCAACGGAUCUCUUGGCUCUCGCAUCGAUGAAGAACGCAGC